AAUAAACGAAUUUACGUGUAUUUUUAGAAUUUUUGAUUUUUUAUCUUAUUUGAAAUUUUUUUAUGUUUAAUAUUUUUAUUGUUAUUACAUAAUAAAACAUGAAUAGUAUUUUAAAUAUGACUAAUUUUUUAAUUUUUUAAUAAAAUUUUCAAAUAAGAUGGAUGAUCAAACGCUCAGCCCGAAAAACC
RNAcentral lists this microRNA precursor (188 nucleotides) under Oryza brachyantha (malo sina). RNAcentral's name for it is "MIR812 microRNA precursor family". It matches the Rfam family "MIR812 microRNA precursor family". The record is from Rfam by way of RNAcentral. Lineage: Eukaryota; Viridiplantae; Streptophyta; Magnoliopsida; Poales; Poaceae.